GACGAACGCUGGCGGCGCGCCUAACACAUGCAAGUCGAACGAGCGAGAGAGAGCUUGCUUUCUCGAGCGAGUGGCGAACGGGUGAGUAACGCGUGAGGAACCUGCCUCAAAGAGGGGGACAACAGUUGGAAAUGACUGCUAAUACCGCAUAAGCCCACGACCCGGCAUCGGGUAGAGGGAAAAGGAGCAAUCCGCUUUGAGAUGGCCUCGCGUCCGAUUAGCUAGUUGGUGAGGUAACGGCCCACCAAGGCGACGAUCGGUAGCCGGACUGAGAGGUUGAACGGCCACAUUGGGACUGAGACACGGCCCAGACUCCUACGGGAGGCAGCAGUGGGGAAUAUUGCACAAUGGGGGAAACCCUGAUGCAGCGACGCCGCGUGGAGGAAGAAGGUCUUCGGAUUGUAAACUCCUGUUGUUGAGGAAGAUAAUGACGGUACUCAACAAGGAAGUGACGGCUAACUACGUG
This 466-nucleotide ribosomal RNA is filed under the name uncultured bacterium. Its description in RNAcentral is "partial 16S ribosomal RNA". It matches the Rfam family "Bacterial small subunit ribosomal RNA", at positions 28 to 507 of the family's 1533-position model. The record is from RNAcentral.